This 166-nucleotide ribosomal RNA is filed under the name Vigna membranacea subsp. hapalantha. Its description in RNAcentral is "5.8S ribosomal RNA". It matches the Rfam family "5.8S ribosomal RNA". Rfam says of the family: 5.8S ribosomal RNA (5.8S rRNA) is a component of the large subunit of the eukaryotic ribosome. It is transcribed by RNA polymerase I as part of the 45S precursor that also contains 18S and 28S rRNA. Lineage: Eukaryota; Viridiplantae; Streptophyta; Magnoliopsida; Fabales; Fabaceae. The record is from RNAcentral.
UUUAAAUGACUCUCGGCAACGGAUAUCUCGGCUCUUGCAUCGAUGAAGAACGUAGCGAAAUGCGAUACUUGGUGUGAAUUGCAGAAUCCCGUGAACCAUCGAGUCUUUGAACGCAAGUUGCGCCCGAAGCCAUUAGGUUGAGGGCACGCCUGCCUGGGUGUCACAC